GGCUCAUUAUAUCAGUUAUGGUUCAAUAGAUCGUACUCAGUUACAUGGAUAACUGCGGAAAUACUGGAGCUAAUACAUGCCAACAGAGUCCCGACCGGAGACGGAAGGGACGCUUUUAUUAGAUCAAAACCAAUCGGUGGCUUCGGCCAUCGUGCAGUCUGGUGACUCUGAAUAACUUUGGGCUGAUCGCACGGCCCUCGUGCCGGCGACGCAUCUUUCAAAUGUCUGCCUUAUCAACUGUCGAUGGUAGGUUCUGCGCCUACCAUGGUUGUAACGGGUAACGGGGAAUCAGGGUUCGAUUCCGGAGAGGGAGCCUGAGAAACGGCUACCACAUCCAAGGAAGGCAGCAGGCGCGCAAAUUACCCACUCCCGGCUCGGGGAGGUAGUGACGAAAUAUAACGAUACGGGACUCAUCCGAGGCCCCGUAAUCGGAAUGACUACACUUUAAAUCCUUUAAGGAGUAUCAAUUGGAGGGCAAGUCUGGUGCCAGCAGCCGCGGUAAUUCCAGCUCCAAUAGCGUAUAUUAAAGUUGUUGCGGUUAAAAAGCUCGUAGUUGGAUCUGUGUCCCGCACCGUCGGUUCACCGCCCGACGGUGUCAAACUGACGCGAUGCGGGACGUCCUGCCGGUGGCGUGUCUAGCUGCGCGCGGCAACGCGCGUGGGCGGCGCCGAUUCAAUCCCGUCGCGGUGCUCUUCACUGAGUGUCGAGGUGGGCCGGCACGUUUACUUUGAACAAAUUAGAGUGCUUCAAGCAGGCUGGAUAUCGCCUGAAUGCUCGUGCAUGGAAUAAUGGAAUAGGACCUCGGUUCUAUUUUGUUGGUUUUCGGAACCAGAGGUAAUGAUUAAUGGAGACAGGCGGGGGCAUUCGUAUUGCGACGUUAGAGGUGAAAUUCUUGGAUCGUCGCAAGACGGACCGAAGCGAAAGCAUUUGCCAAGGAUGUUCUCGUUGAUCAAGAACGAAAGUUAGAGGUUCGAAGGCGAUCAGAUACCGCCCUAGUUCUAACCUUAAACGAUGCCAGCUAGCGAUCUGCUAAAGUUCCUUUGAUGACUUAGCAGGCAGCUUCCGGGAAACCAAAGCUUUUGGGUUCCGGGGGAAGUAUGGUUGCAAAGCUGAAACUUAAAGGAAUUGACGGAAGGGCACCACCAGGAGUGGAGCCUGCGGCUUAAUUUGACUCAACACGGGAAACCUCACCAGGCCCGGACACUGGAAGGAUUGACAGAUUGAGAGCUCUUUCUUGAUUCAGUGGGUGGUGGUGCAUGGCCGUUCUUAGUUGGUGGAGCGAUUUGUCUGCUUAAUUGCGAUAACGAACGAGACUCUAGCCUGCUAACUAGUCGUUUCCGGCUUCCCUUGUUGCAGCCGGCGAAGACAAAUCUUCUUAGAGGGACAGGCGGCUUCUAGUCGCACGAGAUUGAGCAAUAACAGGUCUGUGAUGCCCUUAGAUGUUCUGGGCCGCACGCGCGCUACAAUGAAGGUAUCAGCGUGUCCUCCCUGGCCGAAAGGUCCGGGUAACCCGCUGAACCACCUUCGUGCUUGGGAUUGGGGCUUGAAAUUGUUCCCCAUGAACGAGGAAUUCCCAGUAAAGGCGUGUCAUUAGCACGCCUUGAUUACGUCCCUGCCCUUUGUACACACCGCCCGUCGCUACUACCGAUUGAAUGAUUUAGUGAGGUCUUCGGACUGGCGCGCGGUGUUCCUUCGGGAUCGCCGCUGUCGCCGGAAAGAUGACCAAACUUGAUCAUUUAGAGGAAGUAAAAGUCGUAACAAGGUUUCCGUAGGUGAACCU
This 1780-nucleotide ribosomal RNA is filed under the name Anascirtothrips arorai. RNAcentral describes it as "SSU rRNA". It matches the Rfam family "Eukaryotic small subunit ribosomal RNA". Lineage: Eukaryota; Metazoa; Arthropoda; Insecta; Thysanoptera; Thripidae. The record is from RNAcentral.